Molecule: ribosomal RNA, 418 nt
Filed under: uncultured microorganism
Description: bacterial SSU rRNA
Rfam family: Bacterial small subunit ribosomal RNA
Source: RNAcentral
GAGUUUGAUCAUGGCUCAGAUUGAACGCUGGCGGCAUGCCUUACACAUGCAAGUCGAACGGCAGCAUGAUCUAGCUUGCUAGAUUGAUGGCGAGUGGCGAACGGGUGAGUAAUACAUCGGAACGUGCCCUGUAGUGGGGGAUAACUAGUCGAAAGAUUAGCUAAUACCGCAUACGACCUGAGGGUGAAAGUGGGGGACCGCAAGGCCUCAUGCUAUGGGAGCGGCCGAUGUCUGAUUAGCUAGUUGGUGGGGUAAAGGCCCACCAAGGCGACGAUCAGUAGCUGGUCUGAGAGGACGAUCAGCCACACUGGGACUGAGACACGGCCCAGACUCCUACGGGAGGCAGCAGUGGGGAAUUUUGGACAAGUGGGCGAAAGCCUGAUCCAGCAAUGCCGCGUGUGUGAAGAAGGCCUCGGUU